AUUGAACGCUGGCGGCAUGCUUUACACAUGCAAGUCGAACGGUAACAGGCCUUCGGGUGCUGACGAGUGGCGCACGGGUGAGUAAUGCAUCGGAACGUACCCAGAGGUGGGGGAUAACGCAGCGAAAGCUGUGCUAAUACCGCAUGUGAUCUGAGGAUGAAAGCGGGGGACCGAGCAGCAAUGUUUGGCCUCGCGCCUUUGGAGCGGCCGAUGUCGGAUUAGCUAGUUGGUGGGGUAAAGGCCUACCAAGGCGACGAUCCGUAGCUGGUCUGAGAGGACGAACAGCAACACUGGGACUGAGACACGGCCCAGACUCCUACGGGAGGCAGCAGUGGGGAAUUUUGGACAAUGGGCGCAAGCCUGAUCCAGCAAUGCCGCGUGCGGGAAGAAGGCCUUCGGGUUGUAAACCGCUUUUGGCAGGAACGAAACGGUGUCCGCUAAUACCGGGCGCUAAUGACGGUACCUGCAGAAUAAGCACCGGCUAACUACGUG
Molecule: ribosomal RNA, 492 nt
Filed under: uncultured bacterium
Lineage: Bacteria
Description: partial 16S ribosomal RNA
Rfam family: Bacterial small subunit ribosomal RNA
Source: RNAcentral